RNAcentral lists this ribosomal RNA (229 nucleotides) under uncultured bacterium. RNAcentral describes it as "partial 16S ribosomal RNA". It matches the Rfam family "Bacterial small subunit ribosomal RNA", at positions 568 to 796 of the family's 1533-position model. The record is from RNAcentral.
CACGUAGGUGGCAUGGUAAGUCAAAGGUGAAAGCCCUCGGCUCAACCGAGGAAUUGCCUUUGAAACUGCCUUGCUUGAGUCCGGGAGGGGGGAGCGGAAUUCCCAGUGUAGCGGUGAAAUGCGUAGAUACUGGGAGGAACACCGGUGGCGAAGGCGGCUCCCUGGACCGGUACUGACACUGAGGUGCGAAAGCGUGGGUAGCGAACAGGAUUAGAUACCCUGGUAGUCC